UCGCAUCUUACGAUGGCAGUCCCGAUAGAGUCCUCGGCAUGACCCGUUAGUAACUAUCGGCGAGGGUUGCGCUCGUUAUGGCACUUAAGCCGACACCUCACGGCACGAGCUGACGACAACCAUGCAGCACCUUCACAUUCGCCAUUGCUGGCUGCCACGUUUCCGCGACAUUCGAAUGCAAUUCAAGCCCGGGUAAGGUUCCUCGCGUAUCAUCGAAUUAAACCACAUGUUCCUCCGCUUGUGCGGGCCCCCGUCAAUUCCUUUGAGUUUCACCGUUGCCGGCGUACUCCCCAGGUGGAAUGCUUAACGUUUUCACUGUACCACUGGCCGUGUAUCGCCAACAGUUAGCAUUCAUCGUUUACUGUGCGGACUAC
This 374-nucleotide unclassified non-coding RNA is filed under the name uncultured Bacteroidales bacterium. RNAcentral's name for it is "contains 16S-23S intergenic spacer region". The record is from RNAcentral. Lineage: Bacteria; Pseudomonadati; Bacteroidota; Bacteroidia; Bacteroidales.